AGCCUGCCAGAAGGAUCAGUUAGGCCAUUUUUGAAGACAAGAAGUGCUUCUCUCUCUGUGUCUAUGCAUUUAACAUUGAGAUUCUCAUCAGCUAAACAGACAUUAUGAUGUGGAAAGAACAAACAUAAAAUGAGUAGAAAGUGAAAAAAGAGAUGACAAAGUGAAUUGAAGCAGCCAUUAGUAUCCAUACUGAUAGAUUUGUUGGUGGUGAUGGAUAAAGCUGGCAACUGAAAUUUAUACUGGAUUAUGAUUCAUGUAGUGAGAAUUAGUGGAAAUGUACAGAUUUGCGAGUCACGAGCCCAAGAAAUUCUAAAUGUGAAAAUGGGAAGAUAGUGUUAGCUGACUCUGCUACUUCCAUUAUUAUGGUGGCAUGCCCACUUGUCAUUUUGCCAGAAUGGUGAGAGUAGGUCAUGGAAGUAAAAGUUUCCUUGUUU
Molecule: long non-coding RNA, 434 nt
Filed under: Ricinus communis (castor bean)
Lineage: Eukaryota; Viridiplantae; Streptophyta; Magnoliopsida; Malpighiales; Euphorbiaceae
Description: long non-coding RNA (RCOM_LNC003798)
Source: RNAcentral